AAAGCGUGGGGAGCAAACAGGAUUAGAUACCCUGGUAGUCCACGCCGUAAACGAUGUCUACUUGGAGGUUGUGCCCUUGAGGCGUGGCUUCCGGAGCUAACGCGUUAAGUAGACCGCCUGGGGAGUACGGCCGCAAGGUUAAAACUCAAAUGAAUUGACGGGGGCCCGCACAAGCGGUGGAGCAUGUGGUUUAAUUCGAUGCAACGCGAAGAACCUUACCUGGUCUUGACAUCCACGGAAGUUUUCAGAGAUGAGAAUGUGCCUUCGGGAACCGUGAGACAGGUGCUGCAUGGCUGUCGUCAGCUCGUGUUGUGAAAUGUUGGGUUAAGUCCCGCAACGAGCGCAACCCUUAUCCUUUGUUGCCAGCGGUCCGGCCGGGAACUCAAAGGAGACUGCCAGUGAUAAACUGGAGGAAGGUGGGGAUGACGUCAAGUCAUCAUGGCCCUUACGACCAGGGCUACACACGUGCUACAAUGGCGCAUACAAAGAGAAGCGACCUCGCGAGAGCAAGCGGACCUCAUAAAGUGCGUCGUAGUCCGGAUUGGAGUCUGCAACUCGACUCCAUGAAGUCGGAAUCGCUAGUAAUCGUGGAUCAGAAUGCCACGGUGAAUACGUUCCCGGGCCUUGUACACACCGCCCGUCACACCAUGGGAGUGGGUUGCAAAAGAAGUAGGUAGCUUAACCUUCGGGAGGGCGCUUACCACUUUGUGAUUCAUGACUGGGGUGAAGUCGUAACAAGGUAACCGUAGGGGAACCUGCGGUUGGAUCACCUCCUUACCUUAAAGAA
RNAcentral lists this ribosomal RNA (787 nucleotides) under Salmonella enterica subsp. enterica. Its description in RNAcentral is "bacterial SSU rRNA". It matches the Rfam family "Bacterial small subunit ribosomal RNA", at positions 756 to 1533 of the family's 1533-position model. Lineage: Bacteria; Pseudomonadati; Pseudomonadota; Gammaproteobacteria; Enterobacterales; Enterobacteriaceae. The record is from RNAcentral.